Molecule: long non-coding RNA, 1695 nt
Filed under: Malus domestica (apple)
Lineage: Eukaryota; Viridiplantae; Streptophyta; Magnoliopsida; Rosales; Rosaceae
Description: long non-coding RNA (MDOM_LNC001160)
Source: RNAcentral
UAUCAGAGCUUCAUUUAGAUGGGAUUGCAAUUAAAGAACUGCCUUCGUCAAUUAAUAAACUCACGGGCCUUACUGUUUUGGACCUAUCUGGGUGUCAAGAACUCAAGAGCCUGCCGAGCAGCAUUCAUAUGAGAUCUCUUCAAACCCUUAAUCUUUCUGGUUGCUCAAACCUUGAGAAGAAGUUUCCUGAGAUUUCAGAUGUUAUGGAGAAGCUAUCAGAGUUAUAUUUAGGUGGGACUGCAAUUAAAGAACUGUCUUCGUCAAUUAAUAAACUCACGGGUCUUCCUGCUUUGGACCUACGUGGCUGUCAAGAACUCAAGAGCCUGCCGAGGAGCAUUCAUAUGAGAUCUCUUCAAACCCUUAAUCUUUCUGGUUGCUCAAACCUUGAGAAGUUUCCUGAGAUUUCAGAUGUUAUGGAGAAGUUAUCAGAGUUAUAUUUAGGUGGGACUGCAAUUAAAGAACUGUCUUCAUCAAUUAAUAAACUCACGGGCCUUGCUACUUUGGACCUACGAGGCUGUCGAGAACUCAAGAGCCUGCCGAGCAGCAUUCAUAUGGGAUCUCUUCAAACCCUUAAUCUUUCUGGUUGCUCAAACCUUGGGAAGUUUACAGAAAUUUCAGAUGUUAUGGAGAAGCUAUCAGAGUUAUAUUUAGCUGGGACUGCAAUUAAAGAACUGUCUUCGUCAAUUAAUAAACUCACGGGCCUUACUGUUUUGGACCUAUCUGGGUGUCAAGAACUCAAGAGCCUGCCGAGCAGCAUUCAUAUGAGAUCUCUUCAAACCCUUAAUCUUUCUGGUUGCUCAAACCUUGAGAAGUUUCCAGAGAUUUCAGAUGUUAUGGAGAAGCUAUCAGAGUUAUAUUUAGAUGGGACUGCAAUUAAAGAACUGCCUUCGUCAAUUAAUAAACUCACGGGCCUUACUGUUUUGGACCUAUAUGGGUGUCAAGAACUCAAGAGCUUGCCGAGCAGCAUUCGUGUGGGAUCUCUUCAUACCCUUUUUCUUUCAGGCUGCUCAAAACUUGAGAAGUUUCAUGAGAUUUCAGAUGUUGUGGAGGAGCUAUCAGAGCUUCAUUUAGAUGGGACUGCAAUUAAAGAAUUGCCUUCGUCAAUUAAUAAACUCACAGGUCUUCUUACUUUGGACCUACGAGGCUGUUCGAGAACUCAAGAGCCUGCCGAGCAGCAUUCAUAUGGGAUCUCUUCAAACUCUUAAUCUUUCUGGUUGCUCAAACCUUGAGAAGUUUACAGAGAUUUCAGAUGUUAUGGAGAAGCUAUCAGAGUUAUAUUUAGCUGGGACUGCAAUUAAAGAACUGUCUUCGUCAAUUAAUAAACUCACGGGCCUUAUUACUUUGGACCUGAAAGGUUGUCGAGAACUCAAGAGCCUGCCGAGCAGCUUUCAUAUGGGAUCUCUUCAAACCCUUAAUCUUUCUGGUUGCUCAAACCUUGAGAAGUUUCCAGAGAUUUCAGAUGUUAUGGAGAAGCUAUCAGAGUUAUAUUUAGAUGGGACUGCAAUUAAAGAACUGCCUUCGUCAAUUAAUAAAACUCACGGGCCUUACUGUUUUGGACUUAUAUGGGUGUCAAGAACUCAAGAGCUUGCCGAGCAGCAUUCGUAUGGGAUCUCUUCAUACCCUUUUUCUUUCAGGCUGCUCAAAACUUGAGAAGUUUCCAGAGAUUUCAGAUGUUAUGGAGAAGCUAUCAAAGCU